This 454-nucleotide ribosomal RNA is filed under the name uncultured bacterium. Its description in RNAcentral is "SSU rRNA". It matches the Rfam family "Bacterial small subunit ribosomal RNA", at positions 26 to 518 of the family's 1533-position model. The record is from RNAcentral.
AGAGCGAACGCUGGCGGCAUGCUUAACACAUGCAAGUCGCACGAUCGGGGGUAACUCCGGUAGUGGCGGACGGGUGAGUAACGCGUAGGUAUCUAUCCUUGGGUGGGGGACAACCACGGGAAACUGUGGCUAAUACCGCAUGACGACUGAGGUCCAAAGGCCGAAAGGUCGCCUGAGGAGGAGCCUGCGUCCGAUUAGCUUGUUGGUGGGGUAAUGGCCUACCAAGGCUGCGAUCGGUAGCUGGUCUGAGAGGAUGAUCAGCCACAUUGGGACUGAGACACGGCCCAAACUCCUACGGGAGGCAGCAGUGGGGAAUAUUGGACAAUGGGCGAAAGCCUGAUCCAGCAAUGCCGCGUGUGUGAAGAAGGUCUUCGGAUUGUAAAGCACUUUCGACGGGGACGAUGAUGACGGUACCCGUAGAAGAAGCCCCGGCUAACUUCGCGCCAGCAGCCGC